Molecule: unclassified non-coding RNA, 378 nt
Filed under: plant metagenome
Description: partial contains 5.8S ribosomal RNA, internal transcribed spacer 2, and large subunit ribosomal RNA
Rfam family: 5.8S ribosomal RNA (bases 1-105)
Source: RNAcentral
GAAAUGCGAUAAGUAAUGUGAAUUGCAGAAUUCAGUGAAUCAUCGAAUCUUUGAACGCACCUUGCGCUCCUUGGUAUUCCUUGGAGCAUGCCUGUUUGAGUAUCAUGAAAUCUUCAAAGUAAAUCUUUUGUUAACUCAAUUGGUUUCUACUUUGGUAUUGGAGGUCUUUGCAGCUUCACACCUGCUCCUCUUUGUUCAUUAGCUGGAUCUCAGUGUUAUGCUUGGUUCCACUCGGCGUGAUAAGUUAUCUAUCGCUGAGGACACUGUAAAAGGUGGCCAAGGUAAAUGCAGAUGAACCGCUUCUAAAAGUCAAUUGACUUGGACAAUACUUUUAUGAUCUGAUCUCAAAUCAGGUAGGACUACCCGCUGAACUUAAGC